RNAcentral lists this transfer RNA (67 nucleotides) under human gut metagenome. It matches the Rfam family "tRNA". From Rfam's summary of the family: Transfer RNA (tRNA) molecules are approximately 80 nucleotides in length. The record is from RNAcentral. RNAcentral also lists the same sequence under 1 other name.
GGAUUAGCUCAGUUGGUUAGAGUGCCAGGUUGUGGCCCUGGAGGUCAUGGGUUCGAAUCCCAUAUUC